UCGUCCAAGAAAUUAAUAAGAUGAUGAUGCAUAUUCUCAAGAGUUGAGAAUUUGAGCCAUGUAUCAUUAGUGAUUAAUUUCUAAAUGCUCCUGAUCAAUGGAUCAUCAUGAGGACGGUGAUCGAUCCGAUCAGUGCACAGAUCACUUUCCUUCUGGAUGGACGAGACUUGAGUCCAUAGUAUAGGGACACUGAAGUGAUAGUGCAGGUGCUUGUUACAGAACAAGGGUACUGAGCGUGACCAAGACAAGAAGUCACUUGGAUGUCUAUCCACUCGUCAGUGACUUGCUUGAUGUUGUAGUAGUAUGACUGGUCCUUUGAC
Molecule: long non-coding RNA, 320 nt
Filed under: Phoenix dactylifera (date palm)
Lineage: Eukaryota; Viridiplantae; Streptophyta; Magnoliopsida; Arecales; Arecaceae
Description: long non-coding RNA (PDAC_LNC012593)
Source: RNAcentral